UGGAAGAUGAGUUUAUGUCUUCCCAUUCCCAAGAAGAGAGUGAUAUUGAGGAAACAGAAGGGCCAACACCAAGGCGUCCUCGUGCUCCCAAGAAAAAAAACUAUACGGAUCAAGAAAUGGAGAUUCUAGUAGACGAGGUUCUUGUCAAUUUUAAGGUUCUUUUCCCUUCCAAAAAUGAUAACAUACCUAUGGUGGUAGCAAUGCUUCAUGGAGCCACAUAAUGACUAAAGUCAACACAGUUGGAAUAGCUAAAAGAACAAUUCCGAAAUUAAAAAAGAAAUGGAAUGACUUAAAAAAAAAAGCCAAGCUGGCUUUAAUUGCAAAAUAUUCCAAACAGACUGGUGGCGGUCCAAGCUGCCCAGAAACAUUGACCACCAUUGAGGAAAAGGUAGCUUCAUGUUACCGCCCAGAACAGAUACAUGGGAUUGGAUCAGCUGAUGUGUGCAUGGCGGCCAUUACACAGCGAACCAAUCAAACAUUGCCCACAGAAAUGGAAUGCCUAGAAAAUAAUGACACUACCAUAGAGGACAUGGAAGAGCCAGAUUAUCCAAUUGAUGCCCCCCCCCCUGCCCAU
This is a long non-coding RNA of Hyla sarda, 574 nucleotides long. RefSeq lists it as uncharacterized. NCBI's taxonomy places the organism in Eukaryota, Metazoa, Chordata, Amphibia, Anura, Hylidae. The transcript has 3 exons. The record is from RefSeq and is a predicted model, not a curated record.